RNAcentral lists this ribosomal RNA (306 nucleotides) under Clostridioides difficile. RNAcentral's name for it is "partial 23S ribosomal RNA". It matches the Rfam family "Bacterial large subunit ribosomal RNA", at positions 868 to 1173 of the family's 2925-position model. Lineage: Bacteria; Bacillati; Bacillota; Clostridia; Peptostreptococcales; Peptostreptococcaceae. The record is from RNAcentral.
CUUUAGGGCUAGCCUCAAGGUAAGAGAUACGGAGGUAGAGCACUGAAUGUCCUAGGGGGUAUUGCACCUACCGAAGACUAUCAAACUCCGAAUGCCGUCAUCUUAUACUUGGGAGUCAGACUGUGGGCGAUAAGAUUCAUAGUCGAAAGGGCAACAGCCCAGAUCGUCAGCUAAGGUCCCUAAAUGUAAGUUAAGUGGUAAAGGAUGUGGGAUUGCACAGACAACCAGGAUGUUGGCUUAGAAGCAGCCACUCAUUCAAAGAGUGCGUAAUAGCUCACUGGUCGAGUUAUCCUGCGCCGAAGAUUU